RNAcentral lists this long non-coding RNA (982 nucleotides) under Capra hircus (goat). Its description in RNAcentral is "lncRNA (ENSCHIG00010025345.1)". Lineage: Eukaryota; Metazoa; Chordata; Mammalia; Artiodactyla; Bovidae. The record is from RNAcentral.
GCUUGCUCACUGACCAGCGUUUUCACUUGCUCUCUGGAUGACAGGACCCCAGGUCACUUCUCCAUCCCCAGGAAGAGUGAGGUGGGCAUCAACCUCAGUAGUGACCACAGGAAGGGUGUGGAAGUGGGACUUGGACAUCAGAGCCUCUCAGAGGCAGGAGGGAGUCCGUCAUGGGUGAGGCAGCGGGUACAGGAUGGUCCGGGGAGGGCGGGAUAAGGGAUUAAUACACCGGCCUGGGACGAGUAGGGUCCUGCCUGACGACAGCUUCCCGAGCCCCCUUGGCGCCCAGGGACGUGAUCAACUGAGUGACAUGAGUGCUCCUGCUUGAUAAGACCUUCAGAGGUCCGCAAAGCUUAGGGACGAGGCACAGGCUUCACAAGCUGAAAGGCUUAAUGCCACCUGGUCCUGCAUAAAGAAGUCACUUAGUCCUCUGUAUCCUCAUUUACACAUCACUGAGUGAAUGAAACCACUAGACUCUGGAAGGUGUGCGACACUGUCACGUUUGCUACUUCCAAGAUUUCGUGUACCUUUAGAAGUCUAUGUGGCUGUGAGCAAGUAGAGAUAAGUCAGGAAAAAAAAGAAGAGCCAGGAGGAACUGUUUCCACUUUGUUCUUCGUGGGUGAUAGGUUUCUGAGGAUUCUGACGGAAAACCCACAUAGCUCCUCUGAAAUCUGCCUCAUACAAACUGUCGCUUCAUGAAAGCUACGAUGCUCGAUCGUGAGCUGAGGUGUUUAACUGGCUGGGCUGAGGGAAAUACAUUUCACUGCAGUUACAGCUAUAAAAGAGCUAAUUUCAGGAUCUCACGAUGCAGAGCAAAUGAGAAAUCUGAACCGAGGCCUGGGAAUAUCUGCUAGCAUGAUUCCCCAAAACAUUCCAUUCUACAGACUCAACAUCCAGAUUUUACCUCCGUAUCAAACAGCGUGAACUUCCUAUUAUUCACGGUGCUGUCUGCACCAAGGUUAGAAAAAGCUUUCAGAGAUCU